Molecule: ribosomal RNA, 556 nt
Filed under: Salinivibrio sp. EAGSL
Lineage: Bacteria; Pseudomonadati; Pseudomonadota; Gammaproteobacteria; Vibrionales; Vibrionaceae
Description: partial 23S ribosomal RNA
Rfam family: Bacterial large subunit ribosomal RNA
Source: RNAcentral
GUGGAGCCAUCCUUGAAAUACCACCCUUGUAUGUUUGAUGUUCUAACUUAGCCCCGUUAUCCGGGGUGAGGACAGUGCCUGGUGGGUAGUUUGACUGGGGCGGUCUCCUCCCAAAGCGUAACGGAGGAGCACGAAGGUGGGCUAAUCACGGUCGGACAUCGUGAGGUUAGUGCAAUGGCAUAAGCCCGCUUAACUGCGAGAGUGACGGCUCGAGCAGGUACGAAAGUAGGUCAUAGUGAUCCGGUGGUUCUGAAUGGAAGGGCCAUCGCUCAACGGAUAAAAGGUACUCCGGGGAUAACAGGCUGAUACCGCCCAAGAGUUCAUAUCGACGGCGGUGUUUGGCACCUCGAUGUCGGCUCAUCACAUCCUGGGGCUGAAGUCGGUCCCAAGGGUAUGGCUGUUCGCCAUUUAAAGUGGUACGCGAGCUGGGUUUAGAACGUCGUGAGACAGUUCGGUCCCUAUCUGCCGUGGGCGUUGGAUGAUUGAGGGGAGCUGCUCCUAGUACGAGAGGACCGGAGUGGACGAACCGCUGGUGUUCGGGUUGUGUCGCCAGACG